This 109-nucleotide small nuclear RNA is filed under the name Peromyscus maniculatus bairdii (prairie deer mouse). Lineage: Eukaryota; Metazoa; Chordata; Mammalia; Rodentia; Cricetidae. The record is from RNAcentral.
GUGCUCGCUUCGGCAGCACAUAAACUAAAAAAUUGGAAUGAUACAGAGAAGAUCAGCAUGGCCCCUGCGCAAGGAUGACACACAAAUUCGUGAAGUGUUCCAUAUUAAA